GGGAAACUGAACGCCAAAAAUAAGUAUGGCUUAUCCGAAGGAGAAUUGGGCACUGAUUCCGAUGAGCUAUGUCUCGAGCCGAUCAGAGAAGAGGAACCGUGUCAAAUUUCAUAAAUAACACCUUCCAUAUUUGGAAAAUGGGCUUGAUGACGUGCGUACUGCUUAGCUGUCACCAUGCUGUGCAUGCUCGGCAGUGUAAUUGAAUGGAAGAAAACAAUUACUUUGGUGUUUUGCAGCUCUAUUUCGUUCCCUGACGGUACCCAAAUCUAGAUGUAGGAGUCUGUUGAGCAGGAGAGUGACACAUGUCUUCCCGAAGGCUGUCCAGCCUGCAGUGGUGAUGAAGAAGACACGAAUAUCACCCCAAGAUCGAUUGUAGCGAAUUGGAAAACUCAUGGUGAAUUUGCUUCCACUCCAAGGCAAUGUCGAGACCAGAAUGCUUCGCCAUCAACUCCUGGCUUUCCAUCGGCAUGGUGUUCAGCUGCAGCGGCAUCUGGUCCGGGGAGUACGUUGCUGGAUGGCUGCACUGACACAGGAUGGGUUUGCGUUGGCAAUGCAAUACGGCAGUCAUCCCACAUUAUGAGCUACACGUUUAUGUAAUUUAUAUUGUCGCUCGUCCAGCAACGUCAAGGCUCUGCAUGUAAACACAGGAGAACACCAUAAUAAUUAUACUACUCAGGGGAUAAUAAUUAAAAAUUUUGGAUUAUCAAUUUCUUGACAUUUAUGAGUUCCUGUCUAAACCAUGUCGUGAUAUUGAUUGCUAUCUGCUCACAAAGUACCUCGUAUUGUAACAAUACUCUGCUUAAUCACUACCCUCUGCCAAUUAUUAGAUUCGCACAAUAUUCACAACAUAUGCAACACAAUGCUGUCUAUUGACACUACUUCGAACUGAAAUGCUCACUACUCGUCUCCCGUUUUCAACUCCCUCUACCUUAUGAAUACUCUACUUUACUGGUUUCGUUUCUACCCUUUCCAUUGCUGCCAGCCCCCAGUCUUUUUCAGUGGACAGCACCAUAUUGAAAUUUUUGUGAUUUGAUGUACACAUACUUUGAAAUUGAAAUUCGAAUUACAUGAUCAGAUUUUUGUU
Molecule: long non-coding RNA, 1084 nt
Organism: Sycon ciliatum
Lineage: Eukaryota; Metazoa; Porifera; Calcarea; Leucosolenida; Sycettidae
Exons: 2
Source: RefSeq, a predicted model, not a curated record